GCGCCUUGCCAGCCCGCUCAGAAACUUAAAGGAAUUGACGGGGGCCCGCACAAGCGGAGGAGCAUGUGGUUUAAUUCGAUGAUACGCGAGGAACCUUACCUGGGCUCGAACGUAAGAUGACUGUAGGUGAAAGCUUACAUCUCUUCGGAGCAUUUUACGAGGUGCUGCAUGGUUGUCGUCAGCUCGUGCCGUGAGGUGUCGGGUUAAGUCCCGCAACGAGCGCAACCCUUGCCUUUAGUUGCCAGCAGUUCGGCUGGGCACUCUAAAGGGACUGCCGGUGUUAAACCGGAGGAAGGUGGGGAUGACGUCAAGUCCUCAUGGCCUUUAUGACCAGGGCUACACACGUACUACAAUGGCCGAUACAAAGGGCAGCGACACUGCGAGGUGAAGCCAAUCCCGUAAAAUCGGUCUCAGUCCGGAUUGGAGUCUGCAACUCGACUCCAUGAAGUUGGAAUCGCUAGUAAUCGUGGAUCAGCAUGCCACGGUGAAUACGUUCCCGGGCCUU
RNAcentral lists this ribosomal RNA (505 nucleotides) under uncultured Desulfobulbus sp. RNAcentral describes it as "bacterial SSU rRNA". It matches the Rfam family "Bacterial small subunit ribosomal RNA", at positions 903 to 1382 of the family's 1533-position model. Lineage: Bacteria; Pseudomonadati; Thermodesulfobacteriota; Desulfobulbia; Desulfobulbales; Desulfobulbaceae. The record is from RNAcentral.